This 1317-nucleotide long non-coding RNA is filed under the name Equus asinus (donkey). Its description in RNAcentral is "lncRNA (ENSEASG00005036630.1)". The record is from RNAcentral. Lineage: Eukaryota; Metazoa; Chordata; Mammalia; Perissodactyla; Equidae.
CCUGCACUCUGCGGUCUUUGCGCCUUAUGGGGUCGCUGCAAGCAGGUUGGAGCCCCAGGGGCUCCGCACACCCUGAUUGAACUGACUCCGCUGAUUCCCGCUGAUCAGUCUUUCUCGGAAAGCCCCUCAGAUUGCUCGUUUGUCUCGGCUCCCUGGACCUGGUCGAGGCUUCAAUCCCGUCCGCCAGGCUUGUUGUCGCUGGCCAAAGUGCUCCUUCUUAUAAUUCACGUUACUGCUCUGCCACCCCAACCAGACUUUCUUGCAAAACUUGGUAUUUCAAUUAGUCUGCAGAUAUUUCUUGAAUACCAAAUAUGUGGAAGUAGCUUUCUUAGUGUGAGAAAAGCAAGAUUUGACUCCCAAGACUCAUCAUCUACGUGGAAAGAUAAAACAAAGACACAAAUAGCUAUAGUAUAAGACGCUCUGCAGUCUCUGGACUGGGCCUUUUCCAAGAGGACACAGAAGAGGAGAGAAUGGCAGCUGUGACCCUAGCAGCCAGAUGGCAGGUUGCAUCAUCCAGCCACCGCUAGGAAAGCCAGAUCCCACAGCCCAUUGUAUGGCACUUCAGCAAGCCUGGAAGUGGUGCAAUGAGUCAGAAGCCUGAGUGUGCAGUGUUGGGCCUGUGGCAAGCAAGGGGGAGAGACUGGCGCUCCCAGGCAGAACGCUGUCCAGCUGCAGGUGGUGCAAUCAAAUGGCUGAGUGUGUUGAGCAGCUCUGGCAGCUGAAGUGGAGAAAAUAGCUGAGGGUCUGUGCAGAGGCAGAGGUAAUGUGACGAAGCACAAGACUCGCAUAUGCCUGAUUGAGUCCUUUUGCUGUUCACUCCAAGCCUGAUUUCCUGCCUCAGGUCCGCCUUCCUCUCUCACUACCUGAGACCUUUAACACGUCUCUCUUCUGUUGAAUCUCACAUCCCUCAAAUCUCCACCUCUUUGCCACCAAAUCCUUACUUUACGUUUUCAGUUUUGCUCUCUUCCAUGGUGAUUAACAGAUUCCUUGUUUACCUCUCUUAACAUCAACUUUCACAUCAAAGUAAAUGGCCUUUCAUGGCACUGUAGCUUCUUGAGGAAGGCAAGGAUGCUUUCCUGGCAGGAUGUUGUGGCAAAAACAAAGCCAGACUAGAAGGUAACAGGCCCUCACUAAAUUUAGGAAAACUCAAGGGCCAUCCACCCUUAAGAGACAAUGGGACUCACUGGGGACCAAUGGGUUUUCAUCCCAAGAUGUUUCAACUCCACUCUACUGCUAUGUGACACCCAUGUACAUGCUUGGGCCAGCUGCUAGUGUCUAGGGCCACAUUAUUCUAAAGUAGAGCCUAUGUGAAUAAAG